GUUUCUCAUCUAUGAAAGGAGGAGACUAUGACGUGGGCCACCUAAGAUCCACUCACAAGGAAUCUCCGCCUAGAAUGCUAAACCGGACCACGGAGUCCACUUGGACAACAUCUAGGAGCAUCCAAUUCACCACUGGUCCUUCCAAACUCUGUUCUGUCAGGACGUUCCAGAGCUCUGCUGUGGCCAACACAUGCUGAGAAAUUUCCCACUCCUUUUGGGAUACAAAUAUGCACACCCACACGCCAUACGUACCAAGAACAGAGCAGGAAAUGGCACUUCAAAUGAUCCUUAAAUUAUCUGGUCAGACACACAGGAGAGAGAGGAAAGGGAGAAAAAGAAACCCAGCUCUUCAAACUCCCCCAGAACACAUGCCCUUGAAUUUCGCUUCCUGCUCCCACUCAAACACUUCAAGAGUUAGUUUAAAUAAACGCCCAUAGAGGC
This 441-nucleotide long non-coding RNA is filed under the name Lynx pardinus (Iberian lynx). Lineage: Eukaryota; Metazoa; Chordata; Mammalia; Carnivora; Felidae. The record is from RNAcentral.